This 526-nucleotide ribosomal RNA is filed under the name uncultured bacterium. Its description in RNAcentral is "bacterial SSU rRNA". It matches the Rfam family "Bacterial small subunit ribosomal RNA", at positions 984 to 1509 of the family's 1533-position model. The record is from RNAcentral.
ACAUCCAGCGAACUUGGCAGAGAUGCCUUGGUGCCUUCGGGGAACGCUGAGACAGGUGCUGCAUGGCUGUCGUCAGCUCGUGUUGUGAAAUGUUGGGUUAAGUCCCGNAACGAGCGCAACCCUUAUCCUUUGUUGCCAGCGAUUCGGUCGGGAACUCAAAGGAGACUGCCGGUGAUAAACCGGAGGAAGGUGGGGAUGACGUCAAGUCAUCAUGGCCCUUACGAGUAGGGCUACACACGUGCUACAAUGGCGCAUACAAAGAGAAGCGACCUCGCGAGAGCAAGCGGACCUCAUAAAGUGCGUCGUAGUCCGGAUCGGAGUCUGCAACUCGACUCCGUGAAGUCGGAAUCGCUAGUAAUCGUGGAUCAGAAUGCCACGGUGAAUACGUUCCCGGGCCUUGUACACACCGCCCGUCACACCAUGGGAGUGGGUUGCAAAAGAAGUAGGUAGCUUAACCUUCGGGAGGGCGCUUACCACUUUGUGAUUCAUGACUGGGGUGAAGUCGUAACAAGGUAGGCGUAGCGAG